This 67-nucleotide transfer RNA is filed under the name Marmota monax (woodchuck). RNAcentral describes it as "tRNA.Ala". The record is from RNAcentral. Lineage: Eukaryota; Metazoa; Chordata; Mammalia; Rodentia; Sciuridae.
GGUUUUGGCUCAGUGGUAGAGCACUUGCCUAGCAUGUGUGAAGCACUGGGUUCCAUUCUCAGCACCA